GCUGAUUUAAGGCUUACUUAACACACUAACACUAACAACUAAAGGAAAAACGCCAAAUUGUCACUGCUCAAAAAAAGAAAGAAAUUUAUUCCUUCCUGGUAUUUACUUCUUUUUUUGAUGACAAAAUAAAACAUGAUUAUUGACUGCUUGUCCUUCUUUCUCUUCUUCUACGUACCAACCAAAAGAAAUACAUGAACUAAAUUUAUUCCUUCCUGGUAUUUACUUCUUUUUUGAUGACAAAAUAAAACAUGAUUGUUGAUUGCUUGUCCUUCUUUCUUUUCUUCCCCAUACAAACCAAAAGAAAUACAUGCAUAUGUUUAUCAAAUUUAUGUGCAUCUGUUACCUACUUACUAAAGUAGAACAAUUUUACAUUGUAAUUGUUGGUGACAAAAUAAAACGGGAUUGAUAGAUGAUCUCUUUCUGUUACAUGUAAAUUAUAUUUACUGUAAGUGUUGUUGUUUUUAAGCUUUAUUAUUAUUGUUAAUGUUCUCUUUCUGUUACAUGUAAAUUAUAUUUACUGUAAGUGUUGUUGUUUUUAAGCUUUAUUAUUAUUGUUAAUGUUUACGCACUAUGUUUGUUUUCAUUCUAAUUCUUAGUUAUCCCUUCCGGUGUUUUCUUGCUAAAAUUUCUGAUAGACUGGUAUUCGUAUUUUAUAGAAGAGGAGAAAAGCUAUGAAAAUUAUAAUAAAAGGAGGUAGAUAAAUAAAUAAAUAAAUGAUUAUAUAUAUGUAUAUGAAUUAAUUGAUAUUAUGAUCAACUAAUUUUUUAUGUAUUACUAAAAAUUGACUAAAAACAUUUGUUAUAAAUAUCAUAAUGUCACAAUCACUUUAAAAUAAUUGAUUGUACCUGUUAUAGAGUGCAAUGAACUUAUAUGUAAUAUAAAUAAAACAAAAAGAUUAUAUGCUAAUAUUUCUGAACUCCUAUUAAUACAUGAAUAUUUGUAAGCGAAACUUCCUCUCUAUUAUGUAUUUGCAUGAAAAUUAGGAAUAAAUAAAAAAGCAUUUUAUUAAUUAUGCUUUUCGAUUAAUAUGGGC
This is a long non-coding RNA of Lucilia sericata (common green bottle fly), 1033 nucleotides long. RefSeq lists it as uncharacterized. The record is from RefSeq and is a predicted model, not a curated record. The transcript is spliced from 5 exons. NCBI's taxonomy places the organism in Eukaryota, Metazoa, Arthropoda, Insecta, Diptera, Calliphoridae.